Molecule: ribosomal RNA, 253 nt
Filed under: uncultured bacterium
Lineage: Bacteria
Description: partial 16S ribosomal RNA
Rfam family: Bacterial small subunit ribosomal RNA
Source: RNAcentral
CACGUAGGGCGCGAGCGUUGUCCGGAAUUAUUGGGCGUAAAGGGCGCGUAGGCGGCUUGGCAAGUGGAUGGUGAAAUCCCUCGGCUUAACCGAGGAACUGCCGUCCAAACUGCUUUGCUUGAGACCGGGAGAGGUGAGUGGAAUUCCCAGUGUAGCGGUGAAAUGCGUAGAUAUUCGGAAGAACACCAGUGGCGAAGGCGGCUCACUGGACUGGUAUUGACGCUGAGGUGCGAAAGCGUGGGGAGCAAACAGG